UAAUUAAACAAUGAGGAGGUCCCCUCGCACAUCUGUAAACCUCCUUCUGAGGCCAGUUUAGCCCACAAACUGCUCCAUUCUUACCCCCAUUCACUUGUAAAUGGCCCCUCUGAUGUUCCCUCCACCCCCUCUCCUCUGUUACUCCCCCCUUGCCAGCUCUUUCUUUUCCCUUUUCAACUGAGGCCUGGGGUGGGCUCUCCGAAGAGCCGUCUUGGAGCCUGGUGGACUUGGUGGGGACAGAGGCAGUUUAACCUGUGGAAGAGAAGACUUAGGGGAUCCUUUCUUCCAAAUCUGAAGGGCCAUCCUGGGGAAGAGGGGGUGCAUUUGUUGGCAUGGUCCCCGUGGACCAUUCAGGCCCAGUGGGUGGGAAUGACAGGAAGACAGAUUUCUGCUUGGGAGAAAAGAGCUCUUAACAAUCAGAGCCGCUCCACAGAGGAGCUGACCUCCUGUCCCUGGAGGUGUUCAAAGAGAGGCUGGAUGAGGGUCUGUUACGCCUGCGAGUCAAUAUCAGAUACGACUUUGAGGUUGUUCCGUUUCAGUCCCACGAGGCUGAGGCUGACACCCUUUGGGGCCCUCCCACAGUGGGCAGUCAGUGUCCCCCAGAAUAGGACAAGUCCACCGGGGCGAGGGAUUCUGGUGGAGCUUGCGUCGGUGCUCUCCACAGUGGGUAUCCUCCCUUUGGCAGCAGCCUUUAGAAGGUACUGGAGCCCAGAGGAUGAGGAAUCUGAAGUCACUGUGGGCUUACAGCUCAGAGCAGCCAUCUGUUGAGCGUGUCCUGUGUGUGUGACACUGCCAGGCCUGCCUUGGGCAUUGUGCCUUACGUAAUCCUCAGCAGCUCUUGGUGUUUGGAUUAUUAUCCCUGCUUGUCAGAGGAUGACACUGAGACAGCAAGAUGAAGUGACUUCCUAGCUAAGGCCAUCGAGCACACAGCCGAGGUCCUCUGGCUGUAGACUCAGAACUCAACCACUCCAGCAUAGAGCAGCAGCUCUCAUUGCCUGCUCUGCCCCCGAUGGGCAGGCCAGGUGCCAAGGUAUCCUGCACUGGAAACCUUGUAUUAAGUGCCCAUCUCCUUCCUCUGGUGCUGUGUGCCCGGGGGCAGCCUGGCCGCCAGCACCUACAGACUCAGAGUGUCAUUCCUACCACCUGGGUUGUACUGGGAGCAUUGGCCAACCCCAACAUCUUGUGGGUUCAAACAUCUAACACAGAAGGAAGG
This 1213-nucleotide long non-coding RNA is filed under the name Homo sapiens (human). RNAcentral's name for it is "non-protein coding lnc-SLC27A4-2:1". Lineage: Eukaryota; Metazoa; Chordata; Mammalia; Primates; Hominidae. The record is from RNAcentral.